AUGAGUAUCCUGAGUUGGAACUGUCGGGGCCUUGGGCAGCCCCGGACAGUUCAAGAGUUGGUAUGCCUUGUGCAUACCUAUCGCCCUAAGAUCGUCUUCUUGUCUGAAACAAGGCAAUGCGAAGAGAAAGUGAAAAGAAUAAGAUACAUAAUAGGUCUAAGGCACUGCCUUACCCAUGACGGUAAGGGUAAAGGUGGUGGCAUUGCUUUGUACUGGGAUGAUCAAAUAAAUAUAAAAUUGUUGUCGUAUGGGCCUCGGUAUUUUGAUGUGCUUGUUUGUGAUGAUCCCCAUGGCCCUCCGUGGCGGGGAACCUUUGUUUAUGGUGAACCCAGAUCUCAAGAUAGGCAUCUUAUGUGGACUCUGUUAAAAAGGAUCAGACCAAAUGCCACUGAGCCUUGGCUGAUGAUCGGUGAUUUUAAUGAGAGGAUGUGGCAAUCCGAACACUUUUCAUGUGCUAGAAGAUCUGAAGGACAAAUGGCAAGAUUUAGAAAUAUGUUAUGGUGUUGCAAUCUUCAUGACUUGGGGUUCAGGGGAAGGCCAUGGACCUAUGAUAACAAACAAGGGGGUGAUAGAAAUGUGAGAGCAAGGAUUGAUAGAGGAGUGGCAUCCCCAUGUUGGAUGGAUCUAUUCAAAGAAGCUACGGUGACUCACAUUACUACUGCCAGGUCUGACCACUUUCCACUCCUUCUUUGUUAUGCUGGUGACCCGGUUAACAGAAGAGGGCCGAGGCCUUUUCGCUAUGAACAUAUGUGGGAGAGAGACUCAACUUAA
This 771-nucleotide ribosomal RNA is filed under the name Triticum aestivum (bread wheat). Its description in RNAcentral is "partial small subunit ribosomal RNA". The record is from RNAcentral. Lineage: Eukaryota; Viridiplantae; Streptophyta; Magnoliopsida; Poales; Poaceae.